RNAcentral lists this ribosomal RNA (240 nucleotides) under uncultured bacterium. Its description in RNAcentral is "partial 16S ribosomal RNA". It matches the Rfam family "Bacterial small subunit ribosomal RNA", at positions 537 to 776 of the family's 1533-position model. The record is from RNAcentral.
AGCGUUGUUCGGAAUUACUGGGCGUAAAGGGCGCGUAGGCGGACAGUUUAGUCAGAGGUGAAAGCCCAGGGCUCAACCUUGGAAUUGCCUUUGAUACUGGCUGUCUUGAGUUCGGGAGAGGUGAGUGGAAUGCCGAGUGUAGAGGUGAAAUUCGUAGAUAUUCGGCGGAACACCAGUGGCGAAGGCGACUCACUGGCCCGAUACUGACGCUGAGGCGCGAAAGCGUGGGGAGCAAACAGG